This 253-nucleotide ribosomal RNA is filed under the name uncultured bacterium. RNAcentral describes it as "partial 16S ribosomal RNA". It matches the Rfam family "Bacterial small subunit ribosomal RNA", at positions 524 to 776 of the family's 1533-position model. The record is from RNAcentral.
GACGAGCCUGACAAACGUUAUUCGGAAUCACUGGGCUUAAAGGGUGCGUAGGCGGCGCGGAGGGUGGGAUGUGAAAUCCCCCGGCUCAACCGGGGAAUUGCGUCCCAAACCGCCGUGCUCGAGGAAGAUAGAGGUGAGCGGAACAGAUGGUGGAGCGGUGAAAUGCGUUGAUAUCAUCUGGAACACCCGUGGCGAAGGCGGCUCACUGGGUCUUUUCUGACGCUGAGGCACGAAAGCUAGGGUAGCGAACGGG